GUGAACGCUGGCGGUAGGCCUAACACAUGCAAGUCGAACGGCAGCACAGUAAGAGCUUGCUCUUACGGGUGGCGAGUGGCGGACGGGUGAGGAAUACAUCGGAAUCUACUUUUUCGUGGGGGAUAACGUAGGGAAACUUACGCUAAUACCGCAUACGACCUACGGGUGAAAGCAGGGGAUCUUCGGACCUUGCGCGAUUGAAUGAGCCGAUGUCGGAUUAGCUAGUUGGCGGGGUAAAGGCCCACCAAGGCGACGAUCCGUAGCUGGUCUGAGAGGAUGAUCAGCCACACUGGAACUGAGACACGGUCCAGACUCCUACGGGAGGCAGCAGUGGGGAAUAUUGGAAAAUGGGCGCAAGCCUGAUCCAGCCAUACCGCGUGGGUGAAGAAGGCCUUCGGGUUGUAAAGCCCUUUUGUUGGGAAAGAAAAGCAGCAGGUUAAUACCCCGCUGUUCUGACGGUACCCAAAGAAUAAGCACCGGCUAACUUCGUG
Molecule: ribosomal RNA, 491 nt
Filed under: uncultured bacterium
Lineage: Bacteria
Description: partial 16S ribosomal RNA
Rfam family: Bacterial small subunit ribosomal RNA
Source: RNAcentral